This 246-nucleotide long non-coding RNA is filed under the name Elaeis guineensis (African oil palm). Its description in RNAcentral is "long non-coding RNA (EGUI_LNC030866)". Lineage: Eukaryota; Viridiplantae; Streptophyta; Magnoliopsida; Arecales; Arecaceae. The record is from RNAcentral.
GUUUGGUGCUAUACCACAGGGACUUAUUCUAUACAAGUUAAGAAAUUCUACAACUAAAUAAUGGUAGGACAGAUGAAGACCGAUCUUUAGGGAUUUCUCAUAAAAGCCUACCUGACCCUGAUGAGGAAGAGCUAUCCGCUCCCUGAGAACAGCGACCUCCAGUCUAAACUUGGUAGGGAUUUGAUACUUUAACCUAAUGAUCUCCAAAUCCUCCGAGGUGAGGACAGAGUUCAGGUGGAUAGGGAC